Molecule: long non-coding RNA, 3406 nt
Organism: Culex pipiens pallens (northern house mosquito)
Lineage: Eukaryota; Metazoa; Arthropoda; Insecta; Diptera; Culicidae
Exons: 2
Source: RefSeq, a predicted model, not a curated record
ACUACCUUACCGACAGUAUUUUAAAUAGAAAAAAAUGCUUUGCGCGCAGUGCUUUUCACGCUGGGAUGACGGUUUUUGAAAGCUUGUUUCCGUUUUUUUGCUGUGUUGUGCUUCAUUCGAGAUUCUAAACUGCGUGUUGAUUUGAUGUUCAGAGAUGUUUCACCUAGAUGCCCUUCGCCAACCGUCUCGCACGUCCUGAAAUAUGUUUACACGUAAAAUUUUUGUCGAUAGAGUCUUCCUUCAGUUAGUUGCAUGAAAAAAGAAUACACUAGCCAGGUUAAAACAAAGUACAUAUUUAUUAAUCAAUACACUUCAAACCUUUACAAGAUAUUGAUAAUCUUCACAAUAUUCAUCGACGAACGGGCUAGGGCACGGAGCACCGAUUGCGCACCCGGUCCCGGAGUCUUGGUGCAAGUUCCGCCGGCGGCACGCAACUUCAUAGGAGGAUGGCGUCGCUAUUUUUAGACCACGUUUUCCACUUUUUCUCAUCGAAACCGACUACUUUAUUGACUUCAUUUUGCUGGGCGAGAUAGGAAGCCGUCUAUUUUUAGACGAUGACUCAGCACUUUUCCACUCUUGCACUUAAAAAAACCAGAUGGCAGCACGAUGUAACGCCACGUCCCUAUGUGCAGCGAGGUGAUUCCGAGGGACUUGCACUUUCCGCCUACGUACAAAGCGGCCACAUAGCAGCGUAGGGCGAGCCUCGUCACGAUCAGCCUUGACCUUCAUGCCGCCGGUGCUCCGCCAGAUAGUUACUUGCCCAAAAGAUCCGUAACGUGGACGAAGGUAUCGUUGAAACUGGCGUAUACGUAUGCCACUCCGAACACGAUCUCGUCCGAGCAAAACCUGGACCUCCUCCAAACGAUUUUUCCUGCAUCAACAAAAAUACCACCAAAUACUGCCAAACUUUCUUUGCUCUCACUAAUGUUGAGUUAGUGUUUUGAAACAUUUGAAGAAAUGUCAAAGUAUGAUGUAACUUUAUAAGCUUACUUUACAUUGAUUUAUAAAGCUUACAAUUAAUGCUUUGAAACAUUAUUGAGCUAAAUGCUUUGAAACUUUAAUUGGCUGUUCUAUAUGUCAUUAUACAGUAGAUAAUAAUGUUUCAAGCUACAAAUGUUUCGAAACAUUAGGAAAGACUAUUUAAAGUGUCAUAGCAUCGUGAAAGUUUAUUUAGAGUGGAUUUAGAGUUUUGAUUUAGUGCUUCUGGUUACUUGGGUGAGGAAAGGCUAUAAAAUCACUCGAAAAACGAGCAAAUGUCUGUGUGUGUGGUGGGAUGUUGAUCAAAAAAAAUUUGCACUGUAUUAUCUCGGCAGUGGCUGAACCGAUUUGGACCGUUUUGGUCUCAUUUGAUCCGUCUUGGGGUCCCAUUAGUCGCUAUUGAAAAUUAUAAAGUUUAGUUAAGUACUUCGAAAGUUAUGCUAAAAUAACGAUUUUAACAAAAGUCCGGAAGAUUGUAAAAAGGGUGGUUUUUGUAUGAAACCCCGUCAUGUUAUACAUUGUUAGAAAGGUUUUCAAAAGACCUUUUCAACGAGUUCAAAAGAUUGAAGAUCUGAAAACCCUAUCAAAAGUUAUAAGCACAUAAGUGCCUUGAAUUACCCAAUCAGAUGGUAUGAAUAAUAAAUCAAAUUGAUAGAACACUGAAAGAUCCACCCUUUUGUAUCUAUUUUGGAUAGCAUAAUCCUCUAAAUGUGAGAAAGGCAUCAACCACCUGAGGGUGGGUUAAGUAACGUUUUUUUAUAAGACUUGGCAACAAAGUUCAUAAGAUUUUCCUAUGGAUUUUAUAGCUUGGACAUUCGCUAUUUACAAAUGUCAGCAGUGCGAAAAUAGCUUAAGACAAUUUUAUUUCACCCAAACUUUAAAAUGGCGUCGGAAGAGCAAACUUGUGGGAACUUUGGGCUGACUUCUACCAUAGACUAAUUAAAGACUAAACACUCCGAACAAAUUUUUCAAAAAAGUAUGACUUAUGAGCUGUGAACCGUGUGAACCGCGAUGUACCGCAUCGGCUUGCCCCCCGUCUAGAAGAUUUGCUUGGCAGCACUGCGUUUUUUUCAAUUCUCCUUUGUGCUUGUUUGCGAGCGCAAAUUUUGUUUUUGUUUUUAUUCCGCACCUCAGUUGGCCGGUGUAUUUUGUCAUAAAUAUUAGAAAAUGCUGGAAAUUGUAAGUUUUAAUUAAUUUGCUGUAAGUAUUUUGCAGUAACCAGUCUUCAGUUGGGUCCCUUAUUUCUAGAGCCGUCGUUCGCUUUCAUGACACUGCUGUGUCCCUGGGAAAACUAAGUCGGCGGAUUAGCAUCGAUUGCAGCAUUAUUGAGCAAGUUAGCGGAGAAGGUGAAAACAGAAUCUGAUGUUCCAAUCCGGCACCGUAUAUAUCGAAUCAAUCAAAGAAGAGUACCUACGUGCAGGUACGUCACAUCAGCCGACAGCUGCAAGAAUCGUUAGGCACCCAAACCGAAGCAUCUCGUGUUGAAGGUGAAGGAACGGAUGUACCCCAGAUGGACAGCAUCGACAGAUUGGAGACGCAGUUGCAGAAGCGGAGUCAGUCCAGAUUCAAUCGGGCAAGGUCAACUGGGUUAAAGAACACCUCGAACAGCCGGUGGCGUGUUCGUGUUUAAACAGAAAGAGCUUCAGGGGGAUGAUUAACCGUUGACACAUCAAGAAGCUGCUCCGCAAGAUGCUCAAGGUUCUGCGAAAGGUCGAUUUGUAUCAGUCCUAGGCAUCCGUUCCGUGUGGCGUUGAACGUGGCCCGUGCAGUUCAGAAGGAGUACAACCAUCGUACAAAGAUCAACAAUCAACUAGAAUCCACACUAAGGAGAAGCGUGAUGUGUAUGACGUAAAAAUACAUAAAAUAUGUAUAUGGAUUUUGGUCGUGUUCGUAGAGGAUUUUGUUUAAGCACCGGAUAGAAAUUCCUUAGUCAAAGUAGAUUUCACUUAGUGUCCAUACCACAAACCUGAAGAUCUUUAGUUGACCACCUAUCUAAGAAACGGGCGACGCCUUGCAGGUGGGUUUGCUUCUUGGGACUGCUGAGUCGUACCCCGGCACAGAUCGGUUUGAUUACGUUCGAUUAAACCGCACUCCCGCCUUCCCCCGGGGUUCCAUGUGCCAGUUGCGGACCCCAAAAAGAACUGAAAAGUUGCUGUGCACACUAAAUUUUGUCACUUUCUUAAAUACAUGUCCUGGCGGAAGUUGCAGCUGUGCCGGAAUUAACUGAACGCAUCAGAGCUGCUGUCUGGAUUGCCCAUGGUCGCCUGGUUGGACAAAGAGACGAGCUUUUUGACGGCAAUGCUGGCACGUGAGCAAAAAGAAGACCUUCACCAAGACCUCCAAGAAGUGGAUCAACGAUCUGGGCUAGAAUAAAUCAAGGAAAACUUCAUGAUCUACUGCAUCGGAGCUGAAAUCUACUCCAAAGAUG